Molecule: ribosomal RNA, 988 nt
Filed under: Aegus chrysomelinus
Lineage: Eukaryota; Metazoa; Arthropoda; Insecta; Coleoptera; Lucanidae
Description: partial 16S ribosomal RNA
Rfam family: Archaeal large subunit ribosomal RNA (bases 404-988)
Source: RNAcentral
GGGUUUAUUAAAAGUGGUUUAUUUAAAUAUUUUUCUCGAAUCUAUAGGAUCUAGGGUUUUAUAAAUUUUAUUGUGGAAUAAUUAUUUAAAAUAAAGUUUUAGGGUGAAAUGUAAUUCGUUUGUAGUGAUAUCUAGUUUUUUAAGAAAUUAAUUUAAUUAAGUUUUUUAUUUGAUUUUAAAUGAUAGGAAUUUUCAAUGAAAAUAUAAUAUUUAAGGGGAUAAGCUCUUAGGUGCAUGAAUAUAAUUGAUUAUUUUUAUGUAUAAAAUAGGAUUAGAAGUUUUCAUUUUUAGGAAGGUGUAAUAACUUUUUAUAUAAUUGUAGGAUUUUUUUGUAUUUAUUUUUUUUAUUAAAAUUAAUAAAUUAAUAAGGUUUUUAUUGUAAUAAUGGUUGAAUUAGUAUAUUAAUUUGUGGUUUUAAUUAAUCAGGUAGAUUAGGUUGAGGAAUUCGGCAAAUAUUUUUCUUGCCUGUUUACUAAAAACAUGGCCUUUUGAAAUUGAUUUUAGGUCUGGCCUGCCCAAUGAUUAAAAUUGAAUGGCCGCGGUAUUUUGACCGUGCAAAGGUAGCAUAAUCAUUAGUUUUUUAAUUGGAAGCUGGAAUGAAUGGUCGGACAAGGGAGAUUCUGUCUUUAUUUAAUUAAGUAGAAUUUAAAUUUUCAGUAAGAAGGCUGAGAUGAUUUUGAGGGACGAGAAGACCCUAUAGAAUUUUAUACAAGGGGGAAUUUGUAAGUUAGGGUUGAUAUAUAAAAUUUUUUGUUUGUGUUUUGUUGGGGUGAUAGAAAAAUUUAAUAAGCUUUUUCUUUUUAAUACAUAGAUUAAUGAGUGAUUGAUCCAAUGUUUUUGAUUAUAAGAUUAAAUUACCUUAGGGAUAACAGCGUUAUUAGUUUGGAGAGUUCUUAUCGAUAAAUUAGUUUGCGACCUCGAUGUUGGAUUAAAAUAAGCUUAGGGCGUAGGGGCUUUAAGGCUGAGUCUGUUCGACUUUUAAAAUUUU